GGGAUAAGCAGAGAGGAGAAUUCUGGGAAGACAAAGACUGAGUCAGUAGAUGCCAUCCUGCCAUCCAGGGAGCAGCAUGUAAUGGCACACAGAGCUUCUCUCCAAUGACUGAUGGAAGCAGAUGCAGAGAUCCACAGCCAAACACCAGGCAGAGCUCCAGAAAUCCAGUCAAAGAGAGAGAAGAGGAAUUCUAGGAGCAAGUGCAUCAGGAUCAUGAUGGGGAAACAUGCAGAAACAACCAAACCAAACUAGUAGGAACUCAUGAAAGUUGGAUCAAUGGCUGUGGAGCCUGUAUGGGACUGGACUAGGCCCUCUGCAUGAGGGACUACAUGAGCAAGCGUCUUAAAGAUCUUGAUGGGGAAAUCUACAGAAACAACUGAACCAAGUUCAAAGGAACUCAGGAAAUUUAGACUGACAGCUGCAGAACCUGCAUGAGACUGGACUAGACCUUCUGCAUAUGGGAGACCCUCAUAUAGCUAGGUCUGUUUGAGGGGCCCCUGGAAGUGCGAUCAGGAUCUAUCUAUCCUGGUGCAUGAGCCAUCUUUCUGGAUCCCAUUACCUAAGGUUGAACACCUUGCUCUUGCUUGAUAAAACGGGGAGGGGCUUGGUCCUGCCUCAACAGAAUGUACCAGGCUUAGCUGUCCCACCAUGGGAGAACUUACCUUGUUGGAGGAGGGGAUG
Long non-coding RNA from Peromyscus eremicus (cactus mouse), 681 nucleotides. RefSeq lists it as uncharacterized. The transcript has 3 exons. The record is from RefSeq and is a predicted model, not a curated record. NCBI's taxonomy places the organism in Eukaryota, Metazoa, Chordata, Mammalia, Rodentia, Cricetidae.